CUGUCAGGACGAACGCUGGCGGCGUGCCUAAUACAUGCAAGUCGUACGCUUCUUUUUCCACCGGAGCUUGCUCCACCGGAAAAAGAAGAGUGGCGAACGGGUGAGUAACACGUGGGUAACCUGCCCAUCAGAAGGGGAUAACACUUGGAAACAGGUGCUAAUACCGUAUAACAAUCGAAACCGCAUGGUUUUGAUUUGAAAGGCGCUUUCGGGUGUCGCUGAUGGAUGGACCCGCGGUGCAUUAGCUAGUUGGUGAGGUAACGGCUCACCAAGGCCACGAUGCAUAGCCGACCUGAGAGGGUGAUCGGCCACAUUGGGACUGAGACACGGCCCAAACUCCUACGGGAGGCAGCAGUAGGGAAUUUUCGGCAAUGGACGAAAGUCUGACCGAGCAACGCCGCGUGAGUGAAGAAGGUUUUCGGAUCGUAAAACUCUGUUGUUAGAGAAGAACAAGGAUGAGAGUAACUGUUCAUCCCUUGACGGUAUCUAACCAGAAAGCCACGGCUAACUACGUGCCAGCAGCCGCGGUAAUACGUAGGUGGCAAGCGUUGUCCGGAUUUAUUGGGCGUAAAGCGAGCGCAGGCGGUUUCUUAAGUCUGAUGUGAAAGCCCCCGGCUCAACCGGGGAGGGUCAUUGGAAACUGGGAGACUUGAGUGCAGAAGAGGAGAGUGGAAUUCCAUGUGUAGCGGUGAAAUGCGUAGAUAUAUGGAGGAACACCAGUGGCGAAGGCGGCUCUCUGGUCUGUAACUGACGCUGAGGCUCGAAAGCGUGGGGAGCAAACAGGAUUAGAUACCCUGGUAGUCCACGCCGUAAACGAUGAGUGCUAAGUGUUGGAGGGUUUCCGCCCUUCAGUGCUGCAGCUAACGCAUUAAGCAUUCCGCCCUGGGAUGCCCAGCC
This 897-nucleotide ribosomal RNA is filed under the name Enterococcus faecium. RNAcentral describes it as "bacterial SSU rRNA". It matches the Rfam family "Bacterial small subunit ribosomal RNA", at positions 21 to 873 of the family's 1533-position model. The record is from RNAcentral. Lineage: Bacteria; Bacillati; Bacillota; Bacilli; Lactobacillales; Enterococcaceae.